This 468-nucleotide ribosomal RNA is filed under the name uncultured bacterium. RNAcentral's name for it is "partial 16S ribosomal RNA". It matches the Rfam family "Bacterial small subunit ribosomal RNA", at positions 28 to 507 of the family's 1533-position model. The record is from RNAcentral.
GACGAACGCUGGCGGCGGGCUUAACACAUGCAAGUCGAACGGAAAGGCCCUGCUUUUGUGGGGGGCUCGAGGGGCGAAAGGGGGAGUAACACGUGAGUAACCUGCCCGUGACUUUGGGAUAACUUCAGGAAACUGGGGCUAAUACCGGAUAGGGGCUCCUGCUGCAUGGUGGGGGGUGGAAAGGUUCGGCGGUUGGGGAUGGACUCGCGGCUUAUCAGCUUGUUGGUGGGGUAGUGGCUUACCAAGGCUUUGACGGGUAGCCGGCCUGAGAGGGUGACCGGCCACAUUGGGACUGAGAUACGGCCCAGACUCCUACGGGAGGCAGCAGUGGGGAAUAUUGCACAAUGGGCGGAAGCCUGAUGCAGCAACGCCGCGUGCGGGAUGACGGCCUUCGGGUUGUAAACCGCUUUCGCCUGUGACGAAGCGUGAGUGACGGUAAUGGGUAAAGAAGCACCGGCUAACUACGUG